GAGUUUGAUCCUGGCUCAGGACGAACGCUGGCGGCGUGCUUAACACAUGCAAGUCGAACGAGAUUUAGUGAGUAGCAAUACUCACGAAGAUCUAGUGGCGAACGGGUGCGUAACACGUGAGGAACUUGUCCCGGUCUCUGGGAUAACAGUUGGAAACGACUGCUAAUACCGGAUGACGUCGGAACUUCGCAUGGAGUACUGACGAAAGGGUUACUGGAUCGGGAGAGCCUCGCGGCCUAUCAGCUUGUUGGUGGGGUAAUGGCCUACCAAGGCAUCGACGGGUAGCUGGUCUGAGAGGAUGAUCAGCCACACUGGGACUGAGACACGGCCCAGACUCCUACGGGAGGCAGCAGUGGGGAAUCUUGCACAAUGGGCGAAAGCCUGAUGCGGCAACGCCGCGUGCGGGAAGAAGGCCCUCGGGUUGUAAACCGCUUUCAGAAGGAACGAAACUGACGGUACUUUCAGAAGAAGGUAGCGGCCAACUACGUGCCAGCAGCCGCCCGGUAAU
RNAcentral lists this ribosomal RNA (508 nucleotides) under uncultured bacterium. RNAcentral describes it as "bacterial SSU rRNA". It matches the Rfam family "Bacterial small subunit ribosomal RNA", at positions 9 to 524 of the family's 1533-position model. The record is from RNAcentral.